RNAcentral lists this ribosomal RNA (421 nucleotides) under uncultured bacterium. RNAcentral describes it as "partial 16S ribosomal RNA". It matches the Rfam family "Bacterial small subunit ribosomal RNA", at positions 360 to 773 of the family's 1533-position model. The record is from RNAcentral.
AAUAUUGGACAAUGGGGGCAACCCUGAUCCAGCCAUGCCGCGUGUGUGCAGAAGGUCUUAGGAUUGUAAAGCACUUUAAGUUGGGAGGAAGGGCUUUAGGUUAAUACCCUGAAGUUUUGACGUUACCAACAUAAUAAGCACCGGCUAACUCUGUGCCAGAAGCCGCGGUAAUACAGAGGUUGCAAUGGUUAAUCGGAAUUACUGGGCGUAAAGCGAGCGUAGGUGGUUCAGUAAGAUGGGUGUGAAAUCCCCGGGCUUAACCUGGGAACUGCUUUCAUAACUGCUGAGCUAGAGUACGGUAGAGGGUAGUGGAAUUUCCUGUGUAGCGGUGAAAUGCGUAGAUAUAGGAAGGAACACCAGUGGCGAAGGCGACUACCUGGACUGAUACUGACACUGAGGUGCGAAAGCGUGGGGAGCAAAC